AUGAAGCAGCCCUUCAUAUACACCUGUGAACUGUUCCCCUUCAUUGGGGCUAUUUUACAAACUCUAGUGUUGUAAUGAAUGUCCAGUUAUUCGUAACAAAGCA
RNAcentral lists this unclassified non-coding RNA (103 nucleotides) under uncultured Basidiomycota. RNAcentral's name for it is "sequence contains ITS1". The record is from RNAcentral. Lineage: Eukaryota; Fungi; Basidiomycota.